AUGGAAAAAUUCGAAGGGUAUUCAGAAAAACAUAAAUCUCGUCAACAAUACUUUGUCUACCCACUUCUCUUUCAGGAAUAUAUUUAUGCAUUUGCCCACCAUUAUGGAUUAAAUGGUUCUGAACCUGUGGAAAUAGUUGUUAGUUGUAAUAACAAGAAAUUUAGUUCACUACUUGUGAAACGUUUAAUUAUUCGAAUGUAUCAGCAGAAUUUUUUGGAUAACUCGGGAAAUCAUCCUAACCAAGAUCGAUUAUUGGAUUACAAAAAUUAUUUUUAUUCUGAGUUUUAUUCUCAGAUUCUAUCUGAAGGGUUUGCGAUCGUUGUGGAAAUCCCAUUCUCGCUACGGGAAUUAUUUUGUCUGAAAGAAAAAGAAAUACCAAAGUUUCAGAAUUUACGCUCUAUUCAUUCAAUAUUUCCCUUUUUAGAAGACAAAUUUUUGCAUUUGGAUUAUCUAUCACAUAUAGAAAUACCCUAUCCUAUCCAUUUGGAAAUCCUGGUUCAACUCCUUCAAUACCGUAUCCAAGAUGUUCCAUCUUUGCAUUUAUUGCGAUUCUUUCUCAACUAUUAUUCGAAUUGGAAUAGUUUUAUUACUUCAAUGAAAUCCAUUUUUUAUUUUCAAAAAGAAAAUAAAAGACUAUUUCGAUUCCUAUAUAACUCUUAUGUAUCAGAAUAUGAAUUUUUGUUGUUGUUUCUUCGUAAACAAUCUUCUUGCUUACCAUUAGCAUCUUCUCGAACUUUUCUGGAAUGA
Molecule: ribosomal RNA, 747 nt
Filed under: Triticum aestivum (bread wheat)
Lineage: Eukaryota; Viridiplantae; Streptophyta; Magnoliopsida; Poales; Poaceae
Description: partial small subunit ribosomal RNA
Source: RNAcentral